Molecule: transfer RNA, 67 nt
Filed under: Pontoporia blainvillei (franciscana)
Lineage: Eukaryota; Metazoa; Chordata; Mammalia; Artiodactyla; Pontoporiidae
Description: transfer RNA-Val
Source: RNAcentral
CAAGACAUAGCUUAAAAAAAGCAUUUAGCUUACACCUAAAAAAUCCCACAAUCCGUGUGUGUCUUGA